Molecule: ribosomal RNA, 253 nt
Filed under: uncultured bacterium
Lineage: Bacteria
Description: partial 16S ribosomal RNA
Rfam family: Bacterial small subunit ribosomal RNA
Source: RNAcentral
UACGUAGGGAGCAAGCGUUGUCCGGAAUCAUUGGGCGUAAAGCGCGCGUAGGCGGCCUCAUAAGUCCGUUGUGAAAGUCCAAGGCUCAACCUUGGAAUGCCGGUGGAUACUGUCGAGCUCGAGUCCGGAAGAGGCGAGUGGAAUUCCUGGUGUAGCGGUGAAAUGCGCAGAUAUCAGGAGGAACACCAAUGGCGAAGGCAGCUCGCUGGGACGGUACUGACGCUGAGACGCGAAAGCGUGGGGAGCAAACAGG